Long non-coding RNA from Hemicordylus capensis (graceful crag lizard), 440 nucleotides. RefSeq lists it as uncharacterized. The record is from RefSeq and is a predicted model, not a curated record. The transcript is spliced from 4 exons. NCBI's taxonomy places the organism in Eukaryota, Metazoa, Chordata, Lepidosauria, Squamata, Cordylidae.
CCAAGGAGCACAGUGCACAGCAGGAAGGAAGCACAAAUCUCGGGCGUGGGGCAGGGCAAGUGAGAGCAAGAGCCAGCGAGCCAGAGGAGGAAAGCAGGAACAAAAAGCAGAGAAUCCACUCCAGGCAGCAGGCAGGCAUGGCAAAGCAAAGCUCCUCCGGUGCGCUCGCUCUCCAGGCCCAUAGCCAACAGAUGACAUGGUAGGAUGGCUCUACGCAUGUCUAGCAUGUGCAAAGAUGUCUCUAGCAGCGUGGAUGGAUUUCUGAAAAAGGCGUUGUGCCCUGUGGUCUCCUAGAUGAGCUCCCCAUCCGAGCAUGGAAGCAUCUGUGGUCAACGUGCAAGUAGCUAUCGGAGUCUGGAAUGGCACCCCAUCUGCAUGUUUGUGUCUCUCGUCCACCAUAACAAGGAGUGCAGGAUUCGGUGAGGAAUCUGAAGGGACAG